ACAUUUUCCUUAAAAAAAAAAAAAAAUCAACAGGCUUUUUCAGGGUGAGGCUUGGCCCUUGCACUCCAGGUGAGCUGACCCUUGUGAGUUUCCCAAAUGUGGGGAAAUUGACUGUACAGUUUUAUAGUAUUGGGGGCUGUGUUUGUGCUUUCCCCUU
Small nuclear RNA from Alligator sinensis (Chinese alligator), 157 nucleotides. RefSeq annotates it as U1 spliceosomal RNA. Lineage: Eukaryota; Metazoa; Chordata; Crocodylia; Alligatoridae. The record is from RefSeq and is a predicted model, not a curated record. The transcript has a single exon.